Molecule: long non-coding RNA, 832 nt
Organism: Labeo rohita (rohu)
Lineage: Eukaryota; Metazoa; Chordata; Actinopteri; Cypriniformes; Cyprinidae
Exons: 3
Source: RefSeq, a predicted model, not a curated record
AUUAGUCUUUUUCUUCUGCAAUGCACUUUGGCUGGUGACAAUUUUCUUCCUUCAGGCAAUUGGUGAUACAAUCUCCAAAAAGAUCCCAAAAGUCUAUCCCAAUGGGACUCUUGACGCAACAGAAGUGUUUUCCAUAGAUCCGACUGCACUGAUGUUUCUACUGGGCUUCGCAUUAGUGCUCUUAAUGCUGUUUGUUGCAAUGGUUUACCACAGAAUCUACACAGUAAUCCAUAUGUGGCAUAUUCUGACACAGAAAUGAAAUCUUAUAGAAAGAGGUCACAAUAGGUUGAACAGAUCCCGCACUCAAACCAUCAACAGGAGACACAGCCAGACAGCCAAUACCAAACAAUCCCCUGAAUAUAACUGCUAGUAGCCUAUAUGAUAUAUCACAAUCACAAUUCACGACACGAUGAUAGUACUAAAUAUUUGCAUUGACCAAUAUAGACACUACAAGAAAUGACACAUGGAGUAAAUUAUGUAUUGUUUGUUAGUCAAUUACAUUACUACUUUCCGUCCCAAAUACCACUUUAUUGCUUUCUCUCAUUCUCGUUAAAACUUUUCAUUCUAUCUUUGUACACAUUUACUGUAGAAUGCAUUUAAAUAUAUUAAGGAAAAUAUGCAUAAUUGUCCUGUUGCAAGUAUGUCUUUUCUUUUUAUAUAACACUUGUAUUGCAUUUGCUUUUUUUAAAAAAAGUGGUUUAUUAAGAAAGACACCACACACUUGUAUUGUAUCUGGUUUAUUAAGAAAGUGGUUUAUUAAGUAAAACACCACACUUGUUGUUUUAAAGCUUUUAUUACGAAAAUGUUUAUAGCAUGUAUUAGCAAGAGCAUA